This 440-nucleotide ribosomal RNA is filed under the name uncultured bacterium. RNAcentral describes it as "partial 16S ribosomal RNA". It matches the Rfam family "Bacterial small subunit ribosomal RNA", at positions 338 to 795 of the family's 1533-position model. The record is from RNAcentral.
CCUACGGGAGGCUGCAGUGGGGGAUAUUGCACAAUGGGGGAAACCCUGAUGCAGCGACGCCGCGUGUGGGAAGACGGUCCUCUGGAUUGUAAACCCUUGUCGCCAGGGACGAAGAUGACGGUACCUGGGGAGGAAGCUCCGGCUAACAACGUGCCAGCAGCCGCGGUAAUACGUAGGGAGCGAGGGUUGUCCGGAAUUACUGGGUGUAAAGGGAGCGUAGGCGGGACUGCAAGUCGGGGUUAAAAUCCACCGGCUCAACCGGUAGCCGCACUCAGAACUGCAGUUCUUGAGUGAAGUAGAGGCAGGCGGAAUUCCUAGUGUAGCGGUGAAAUGCGUAGAUAUUAGGAGGAACACCAGUGGCGAAGGCGGCCUGCUGGGCUUUUACUGACGCUGAGGCUCGAAAGUGUGGGGAGCAAACAGGAUUAGAUACCCUGGUAGUC